Molecule: ribosomal RNA, 387 nt
Filed under: uncultured bacterium
Lineage: Bacteria
Description: bacterial SSU rRNA
Rfam family: Archaeal small subunit ribosomal RNA
Source: RNAcentral
GCGCGAAAACUUUACAAUGCUGGCAACAGCGAUAUGGGAACCUCGAGUGCCAGGUUACAAAUCUGGCUGUCGGGAUGCCUAAAAAGCAUUUCAUAGCAAGGGCCGGGCAAGACCGGUGCCAGCCGCCGCGGUAACACCGGCGGCUCGAGUGGUAACCGUUAUUAUUGGGUCUAAAGGGUCUGUAGCCGGCCGGAUAAGUCUCUUGAGAAAUCUGGCAGCUUAACUGUCAGGCUUUCAGGAGAUACUGUCUGGCUCGAGGCCGGGAGAGGUGAGAGGUACUUCAGGGGUAGGGGUGAAAUCUUGUAAUCCUUGAAGGACCACCAGUGGCGAAGGCGUCUCACCAGAACGGACCUGACGGCAAGGGACGAAAGCUAGGGGCACGAACCG